GGCACUACGGUGCUGAAGCAACAAAUGCCCUGCUUCCAGGAAAAGCCUCUAAGCAUCAGGUAACAUCAAAUCGUACCCCAAACCGACACAGGUGGUCAGGUAGAGAAUACCAAGGCGCUUGAGAGAACUCGGGUGAAGGAACUAGGCAAAAUGGUGCCGUAACUUCGGGAGAAGGCACGCUGAUAUGUAGGUGAAGUCCCUCGCGGAUGGAGCUGAAAUCAGUCGAAGAUACCAGCUGGCUGCAACUGUUUAUUAAAAACACAGCACUGUGCAAACACGAAAGUGGACGUAUACGGUGUGACGCCUGCCCGGUGCCGGAAGGUUAAUUGAUGGGGUUAGCGCAAGCGAAGCUCUUGAUCGAAGCCCCGGUAAACGGCGGCCGUAACUAUAACGGUCCUAAGGUAGCGAAAUUCCUUGUCGGGUAAGUUCCGACCUGCACGAAUGGCGUAAUGAUGGCCAGGCUGUCUCCACCCGAGACUCAGUGAAAUUGAACUCGCUGUGAAGAUGCAGUGUACCCGCGGCAAGACGGAAAGACCCCGUGAACCUUUACUAUAGCUUGACACUGAACAUUGAGCCUUGAUGUGUAGGAUAGGUGGGAGGCUUUGAAGUGUGGACGCCAGUCUGCAUGGAGCCGGCCUUGAAAUACCACCCUUUAAUGUUUGAUGUUCUAACGUGGACCCGUAAUCCGGGUUGCGGACAGUGUCUGGUGGGUAGUUUGACUGGGGCGGUCUCCUCCUAAAGAGUAACGGAGGAGCACGAAGGUUGGCUAAUCCUGGUCGGACAUCAGGAGGUUAGUGCAAUGGCAUAAGCCAGCUUGACUGCGAGCGUGACGGCGCGAGCAGGUGCGAAAGCAGGUCAUAGUGAUCCGGUGGUUCUGAAUGGAAGGGCCAUCGCUCAACGGAUAAAAGGUACUCCGGGGAUAACAGGCUGAUACCGCCCAAGAGUUCAUAUCGACGGCGGUGUUUGGCACCUCGAUGUCGGCUCAUCACAUCCUGGGGCUGAAGUAGGUCCCAAGGGUAUGGCUGUUCGCCAUUUAAAGUGGUACGCGAGCUGGGUUUAGAACGUCGUGAGACAGUUCGGUCCCUAUCUGCCGUGGGCGCUGGAGAACUGAGGGGGGCUGCUCCUAGUACGAGAGGACCGGAGUGGACGCAUCACUGGUGUUCGGGUUGUCAUGCCAAUGGCACUGCCCGGUAGCUAAAUGCGGAAGAGAUAAGUGCUGAAAGCAUCUAAGCACGAAACUUGCCCCGAGAUGAGUUCUCCCUGACUCCUUGAGAGUCCUGAAGGAACGUUGAAGACGACGACGUUGAUAGGCCGGGUGUGUAAGCGCAGCGAUGCGUUGAGCUAACCGGUACUAAUGAACCGUGAGG
Molecule: ribosomal RNA, 1367 nt
Filed under: Escherichia coli
Lineage: Bacteria; Pseudomonadati; Pseudomonadota; Gammaproteobacteria; Enterobacterales; Enterobacteriaceae
Description: partial 23S ribosomal RNA
Rfam family: Bacterial large subunit ribosomal RNA
Source: RNAcentral